Molecule: ribosomal RNA, 468 nt
Filed under: uncultured bacterium
Lineage: Bacteria
Description: partial 16S ribosomal RNA
Rfam family: Bacterial small subunit ribosomal RNA
Source: RNAcentral
GACGAACGCUGGCGGCGUGCUUAACACAUGCAAGUCGAACGGAAAGGCCCUGCUUUUGUGGGGUGCUCGCGUGGCGAACGGGUGAGUAACACGUGAGUAACCUUCCCUUGACGUUGGGAUAACUUCAGGAAACUGGUGCUAAUACCGGAUAGGAGCUCCUGCUGCAUGGUGGGGGUUGGAAAGUUUCGGCGGUUGGGGAUGGACGCGGGGCUAAUCAGCUUGUUGGGCGGGUAGUGGCUUACCAAGGCUUUGACGGGUAGCCGGCCUGGGAGGUGGACCGGCGACAUGGGGACUGAGGUACGGCCCAGAGGGCUACGGGAGGCAGCAGUGGGGAGUAUGACACAGUGGGCGGAAGCCUGAGGCAGCAACGCCGCGUGCGGGAAGACGGCCUUGUGGUUGUAAACCGCUUUCGCCUGUGACGAAGCGUGAGUGACGGUAAUGGGUGAAGAAGCACCGGCUAACUACGUG